RNAcentral lists this long non-coding RNA (266 nucleotides) under Lathyrus oleraceus (garden pea). RNAcentral's name for it is "Pisum sativum (pea) long non-coding RNA (PSAT_LNC019459)". Lineage: Eukaryota; Viridiplantae; Streptophyta; Magnoliopsida; Fabales; Fabaceae. The record is from RNAcentral.
UAGAAAUGACCAAGGCACUUGUUUUCUAUCGAGCACAACCAGUUCCAAAUGCAACUUACCUGUGAGCAGAGAGAGUAUUCGUUAACCCCUUUGAGCUUAAACAGUUGAAUCUCAGCUUGAAAUAAAGCGAGAUUUCAAAAAUCUUUUCUUCUUGAAACCCGGAAAAUUUUGAUAAUUGUUCUUUUGCCGUAAAAAGUCAAGAGCAUUCACUUAGGGUGAGUAAGAAAUAAGUUGGGGAGAAUGAAAAUUAGAAUCGGUAAGUGCCA